GAUGAAGAACGUAGUGAAAUGCGAUAAGUAAUGUGAAUUGCAGAAUUCAGUGAAUCAUCGAAUCUUUGAACGCACAUUGCGCCCGCCAGUAUUCUGGCGGGGAUGCCUGUUCGAGCGUCAUUUCAACCAUCAAGCCCCAGGCUUGUGUUGGGGACCUGCGGCUGCCGCAGGCCCUGAAAACCAGUGGCGGGCUCGCUGUCACACCGGGCGUAGUAGAUUUUAUCUCGCUCAGGGCGUGCUGCGGGUUCCGGCCGUUAAAAAGCCUUUUUUACCCAAGGUUGACCUCGGAUCAGGUAGGAAGACCCGCUGAACUUAAGCAUAUCAAUAAGCGGAGGA
Molecule: unclassified non-coding RNA, 336 nt
Filed under: soil metagenome
Description: partial contains 5.8S ribosomal RNA, internal transcribed spacer 2, and large subunit ribosomal RNA
Rfam family: 5.8S ribosomal RNA (bases 1-120)
Source: RNAcentral